GACGAACGCUGGCGGCGUGCUUAACACAUGCAAGUCGAACGGGCCUUGUCCCCUUUUUUUUUGGGGGUGGGGUUAGUGGCGAACGGGUGAGUAACACGUGAGUAACCUGCCCCUCACUUCUGGAUAACCGCUUGAAAGGGUGGCUAAUACGGGGUGUUCUGGCCUGCUCGCAUGGGUGGGUUUGGAAAGAUUCGACCGGUUUUGGUUGUUUUGGUGGGGGAUGGGCUCGCGGCCUAUCAGCUUGUUGGUGGGGUGAUGGCCUGCCAAGGCUUUGACGGGUAGCCGGCCUGAGAGGGUGGGCGGUCACACUGGGACUGAGACACGGCCUAGACUCCUACGGGAGGCAGCAGUGGGGAAUAUUGCACAAUGGGCGCAAGCCUGAUGCAGCGACGCCGCGUGAGGGAUGGAGGCCUUCGGGUUGUGAACCUCUUUCGCCAGUGAAGAAGGUCCUGCUCUUUGUGGUGGGGUUGACGGUAGCUGGGUUAAUGAAGCGCCGGCUAACUACGUG
This 508-nucleotide ribosomal RNA is filed under the name uncultured bacterium. Its description in RNAcentral is "partial 16S ribosomal RNA". It matches the Rfam family "Bacterial small subunit ribosomal RNA", at positions 28 to 507 of the family's 1533-position model. The record is from RNAcentral.